This 608-nucleotide long non-coding RNA is filed under the name Rattus norvegicus (Norway rat). Its description in RNAcentral is "long non-coding RNA NONRATT033056". The record is from RNAcentral. Lineage: Eukaryota; Metazoa; Chordata; Mammalia; Rodentia; Muridae.
CACCCGUUUUCCUCCCGAUGUCCCUGCCUUGCUGUUCUCAGCAUUUGCAAGGUUGCCCACAGUCUGAGAGUGGGGUGCUCAGCGCUGGGAGUAGUGGCUCUUCUGUUUACCAAAUUGGAGAAUUCUGGAAAAAAAUGUGCACCUCCCAUCGUGACUUAACUGUGGGCAAAAUCGAGCCAGGAAUCAGCUCUGGUAGAAUUUAGAAUUCUGUCUCCUAAAGAUCAAACUAAAAUGAAAAUUCCAGAAAGCCGGCAAAAGACCGAAAAAGAAAACUUAAUCUGGAAUACGCUUGGUCCUGAGAAGCUCUGUGUGCUAACUCACCUGCAUGCUGUGGGCAAGGUAGGUUUCGGCAAAUGAGUUCCCUUUUGUACCACACUUUCAGACAGGAAAGUCACAGAAGCCUGACAGGUUAGUAAGAGGCUAGGAAAGUAGAAACGUGUUUUACACAGCUAAAACCAACCCAUUAACUCCCCUGCUAAACAAAGGAAUAAAACAGUACGUUAAACCCAUACUGAAGGAAAAUGGCCGAGUGGCGCCACCUGGUGUCUAUUUUCUUUUACAACAGCGGGUGAUUCCUGCGCCCUCUGGUGGUGCUACGCAACCCGUCU